AGAGUUUGAUCUUGGCUCAGAACGAACGCUGGCGGUAUGCUUAACACAUGUAAGUUGAAUGAGAAAGCUUUCUUCGGAAAGUGAUUAGAGUGGCGCACGGGUGAGUAACACGUAGAUAACCUGCCUUUUAGUCUGGGAUAACCAUUUGAAAAGAUGGCUAAUACCGGAUAACAUCGGUUACCUUAAGGUGGCCGAUUGAAAGAUUUAUCGCUAAUAGAUGGGUCUGCGUACCAUUAGCUAGUUGGUAGGGUAAAGGCCUACCAAGGCUGCGAUGGUUAGCGGGUCUGAGAGGAUGAUCCGUCACACUGGAAUUGAGAUAUGGUCCAGACUCCUACGGGAGGCAGCAGUGUGGGAAUUUUGUGCAAUGGGCGAAAGCCUGACGCAGCAAUACCGCGUGAGUGAAGAAGGCCUUUGGGUCGUAAAGCUCUUUUCUAAAGGAAGAUAAUGAUGGUACUUUAGGAAUAAGCACCGGUUAACUCCGUGUUAGUAGUUGUGGUAAUACGGAGGGUGCAAGCGUUGUUCGGAUUUACUGGGCGUAAAGGGCACGUAGGCGGCAUAGCAAGUUAAGGGUGAAAUUCCGGGGUUUAAUUCCGGAACUGCUCUUAAAACUGCUGAGCUAGAGAUAGUCAGAGGCGGGUGGAAUUCCAGGUGUAGAGGUGAAAUUUGUAGAUAUUUGGAGGAACACUGGUGGUGAAGGCGGCCCGCUGGGACUAUUCUGACGCUAAGGUGCGAAAGCGUGGGGAGCGAACAGGAUUAGAUAUCCUGGUAGUCCACACUGUAAACGAUGAACACCGGCUGUUUGGAUAAUUGAUAAUCCAAGUGGCGCAGCUAAUGCGAUGAGUGUUCCGCCUGGGGAGUACGGUCGUAAGACUAAAACUCAAAGGAAUUGACGGGGGCCCGCACAAGCGGUGGAGCAUGUGGUUUAAUUUGAUGCAAUGUGAAGAAUUUUACCUGGGUUUGACAUCCUCGGACCACCAUAGAGAUAUGGUUUUCCCUUCGGGGACCGAGUGACAGGUGCUGCAUGGCUGUCGUCAGCUCGUGUUGUGAGAUGUUGGGUUAAGUCCCGCAACGAGCGCAACCCUUGUCCUUAGUUGCCAGCAUGUAAUGGUGGGAACUUUAAGGAGACUGCCGGUGUUAAGCCGGAGGAAGGUGGGGAUGACGUCAAGUCCUCAUGGCCUUUAUAUCCAGGGCUACACACGUGCUACAAUGGUGACUAUAAAGAGCAGCAAGACCGUGAGGUUGAGCGAAUUUUAAAAAAGUCAUCUCAGUUCGGAUCGCAGUCUGUAAUUUGGCUGCGUGAAGUUGGAAUCGCUAGUAAUCGUAGAUUAGUGUGCUACGGUGAAUAUGUUCCCGGGCCUUGUAUACACCGCCCGUCACACCAUGGGAGUUGACAUUGGCAGAAUACAUUGAGCGAAUUUU
This 1419-nucleotide ribosomal RNA is filed under the name metagenome. Its description in RNAcentral is "bacterial SSU rRNA". It matches the Rfam family "Bacterial small subunit ribosomal RNA". The record is from RNAcentral.